This 393-nucleotide ribosomal RNA is filed under the name uncultured bacterium. RNAcentral describes it as "bacterial SSU rRNA". It matches the Rfam family "Bacterial small subunit ribosomal RNA", at positions 30 to 424 of the family's 1533-position model. The record is from RNAcentral.
AUUGAACGCUGGCGGCAUGCCUUACACAUGCAAGUCGAACGGCAGCACGGGAGCUUGCUCCUGGUGGCGAGUGGCGAACGGGUGAGUAAUACAUCGGAACGUACCCUGAAGUGGGGGAUAACGUAGCGAAAGUUACGCUAAUACCGCAUAUUCUGUGAGCAGGAAAGAGGGGGAUCGCAAGACCUCUUGCUUUAGGAGCGGCCGAUGUCGGAUUAGCUAGUUGGUGAGGUAAAGGCUCACCAAGGCGACGAUCCGUAGCGGGUCUGAGAGGAUGAUCCGCCACACUGGGACUGAGACACGGCCCAGACUCCUACGGGAGGCAGCAGUGGGGAAUUUUGGACAAUGGGCGCAAGCCUGAUCCAGCCAUGCCGCGUGAGUGAAGAAGGCCUGGUU